ACUAGGAUUACCAAACCAUUACAUUUCGGUAAGAUGAGACUUCUCUAGAUUCUGUGGAUCUUGCAGCAUUUUUGCAGACGGACAGGCGCUGUCAGCUGGGAGCUCAGCAUGGCUUCUCGUUUCCUGCCAUCAGGUAGGUGUUCCCUUGCAGCUCCAUUCUUUCACAAGUACAUGGUUCUCCUGGACAUUUUAUUGCCAAGUUCUAGAAAGAAUAAAUAUGAGAUGUCGGAGAAAAACAGAACAUUUAUAUUUUAAGGAUAAAUAAUACUGUUGUCGGAGGAUAAAAAUGCCAUCAAAUUUAUUAACUCUGGUGGUAAUGUCUAUUUUAAAUGGUAUUGAAAAGCAGUCUGCUAUGUAACUAAACUGUUAAAUAAAGGCCCAAACAACAUUUCUUUGUUCAACCAAACCGACACCAUUGGUAUUACCUCGCUUGCCCACAGUUUAGCUGAGGACCUGGUAUUUUGCUUUCCUGGACAUUGCUUUCUGAAUACGUGUAUGGAAAAUUCAUAAAGCCACCGUCUGAUGCUCUGCUCUGACUGCUGGUUUUGUUGGAAUCACAGAAGAUUUUUUUUUGUUUUUUCCAACAGGAUGAGCAGGCCUGUUAAACAUGGAAUAGAGACUGCACCCAAAACUCGAGGCUGAUGGUGUUUUCUGAAAUGGCCACAUUCCAGCUGCGGUGCUGUCGGUAAUUACAGAGCAGUUUCCUGCUUGGCUUGAGGUGAGCGAACAUUAACAGCUUUUAUUAACCAAACCCAAGAGGUGAAUGCUGACAGAAAGGAAGCUGAAUGGACUCAAUCAAGACGCAAGGAGAAGAUGGAUGUGGUGGUGAGAGACCUGCAGCCUGUUGCUGAAGGACUGGAUGAAACCGGAGGUUGAUACUCUGCAAAAGCUUCAUAGACUGUACACUGUAAGGAGGUUGUGCAGAUGGAAUUUCUAUGUACCUCAUAAUAAUUUUCUUAGUAAAACAAGCUGCCUCUUCUUGUUCCUUCAUGAAAUAAAAAUGGACUGGUGCCUGUUUUCCAUUUCUGACCUUAA
Long non-coding RNA from Oxyura jamaicensis (ruddy duck), 1035 nucleotides. RefSeq lists it as uncharacterized. The record is from RefSeq and is a predicted model, not a curated record. Lineage: Eukaryota; Metazoa; Chordata; Aves; Anseriformes; Anatidae. The transcript has 2 exons.